RNAcentral lists this non-coding RNA (46 nucleotides) under Schistosoma margrebowiei. The record is from RNAcentral. Lineage: Eukaryota; Metazoa; Platyhelminthes; Trematoda; Strigeidida; Schistosomatidae.
ACACUGCUGAGGAGUCCAAAAAUGGGACGAAACGGUCGUCCAAUGU